Molecule: unclassified non-coding RNA, 156 nt
Filed under: uncultured fungus
Lineage: Eukaryota; Fungi
Description: sequence contains ITS1
Source: RNAcentral
UCCAAUGCGUCUGGGGCCGGCCCAAACGUCGUGCCCUGACCAAAUACACCCUUGAUUUUUGCGUACACAUAGUUUCCUCGGCAGGCUUGCCUGCCAGCAGGACCCUCCUUUAAACUCAUUGCAGUUGCAAUCAGCGUCAGAAAACUUCAAUCGUUA